CUUUCAACAUGGUUGCCUGUAUAGAACUGUAGCAGGCUUUUUCACCUUUGAGAAUUCCAUGUUUCAAGAAAAGAUAAGAACAAUUAAACGGCGCCUCGGUGUCUAUAGAUUCUUGCCGCUGUUUUUCAUUGCUGGAGCUGGAAUUGAGCUAUUUAUGAUAAAGGUUCGCAUCGGAAAGGAAACUUUUUAUGAAGUUUAUGUCAGAAAAGAAUCAGAAAGACGUCUAGAAAGAAGAAAACAAGAACAAGAAAACACAAAUAAACAGCAGAGUGUAGAAAUAUAAUUUUUGAGGAUGCCUGCUGGGGUAUCUUGGCCUGGAUAUUUAACUUUCUUUGCAGUCAGUUUAGCAACUUGCCUGGCAGGAAGUCAAAUGGUACACUUGUACUACAGACCAAAUCUGGAAAUUCCAGAUGUACCCCCAGAUCCAAAGGACUUUCCAGAACAAACAGGAUGGAGAAAAUAUAUUUCCAUAAAAAGAGACUAGUGUAUACCAUCUAAUUGUAAAAUAUUGAAUCGGUUGUGAAAUUUCAUGAAAAACAUUUUCCCUUCAAUUUGUAAUUACGUUAUGAAUCUUUUGUCUUCAUUUAAUGUUUUUAAAGGUUUUAAGACUAUUUUACAACAUACUGAGAUAAAGAUGAUAGAAAUAAUGGCAAAUUAUGAAAGAUCAUAUCUGGUUUGUAAUGUAACCAAAAAUGCAAAGAAGCAUAUACAGUUGUAUCACUAAUGAUUAAAGAAAUGAUCAUUUUUUCAACUAACACAUGUCAAACAGUUUUAUUGUAAUGCAGAGACAGACUUAAAAUAAUUCAGGAAAAACUUUUCAGGAGGGGACAAAGGUAUCUACAGUACAUAGCAUAAACUAAACAAUACAAAGAAAAGUACAUUUGAUUAAAAGAAGCAGAAGGUUUAAAUUGGAAUGAAGCAAUCUUCAUAACAUCCAACAUUAUCAGGGCAAAAUAGUACUUGUUAUAAAUGCUGACUUCAGUGUUUGGGCAGUAUGGAAAAUGUGAGAAAAUGAUAAUCAAAAAUAAUGGAUGAAUGA
Non-coding RNA from Pocillopora verrucosa, 1039 nucleotides. The record is from RefSeq and is a predicted model, not a curated record. Lineage: Eukaryota; Metazoa; Cnidaria; Anthozoa; Scleractinia; Pocilloporidae.